UCGAUCACCGACGGGUCUGCUCACUCUCGGGUCUCUCUCUCUAACGCCGACGGUCUGCGACUCCCUCUCGGCUUUCUCUCCAAACGGUCGGCGACACCCUCUUGGCUACGAGUUGCUCUCUCUGCCGAAACACAGUGAUCUCUCUUGCAACUACCUCAAUGGAUCAAUCCCCCCAAGCCUUUCUCAUGCACCCCUGCGCAUUCUGAGUGUACUGGGAAACCGACUCAGUGGUUCCAUUCCUCCAGAGAUUGGUAACAUUAGAACGCUCAGGGAGCUGUAAGUCUAAUAUAUAAAUGUGUAAUAUAUAGUAUGGUAGUGUCAAAAUGUAAGACUUUUUUAGCAAUAGUUUUCUGUCAAUUCUUUUAAGGAUCAAUUUAAUGUUUCUUCAAAAUCUGUAGGACUCAUAUAGAAGCAAAUAUUUUAAACCACUUUGUCAUUUCAAGACUUUUUUAUAAUUGUGUAUUUAUAUAUAAAUAUAUAUAUAUAUACUCAGUCAAGGUUUUGUGUA
Molecule: long non-coding RNA, 508 nt
Organism: Humulus lupulus (European hop)
Lineage: Eukaryota; Viridiplantae; Streptophyta; Magnoliopsida; Rosales; Cannabaceae
Exons: 3
Source: RefSeq, a predicted model, not a curated record